This is a long non-coding RNA of Amblyraja radiata (thorny skate), 865 nucleotides long. RefSeq lists it as uncharacterized. The record is from RefSeq and is a predicted model, not a curated record. The transcript is spliced from 3 exons. NCBI's taxonomy places the organism in Eukaryota, Metazoa, Chordata, Chondrichthyes, Rajiformes, Rajidae.
CCCUUUAGAGUGCCUUACAGCACCAGAGACUAGGAUCGACCGUGAUCUCAGGAGCAGUUUGUACGGAAUUUGUACAUUCUCCCCGUGACCACAUGGGUUUUCUCCGGGUGUUCCAUUUUCCUCCCACACUCCAAAGACGUACAGGUUUAUAGGGUUGUAUAGGAAUCGAGUUUUCCCUCUUCACACUCUGUUAUAUUUUCAUUUCCAAACGUAAUCUCUCCUCAGUUAUAAAUUUCUGGCCCAGGCAAUGUUUUUGUCGAUCCGCACCCUCUCUGUUGCGGUCACAUCACUCCCAGUUCAGGACCGAGUUGUAUGUAGUUUGCGGGCGUUAUUAACACCAUGGAAUAUUUAAUCAGCAGUAUGAUGAUCGGCAUCUGUCAGCAACUCUGAACAAAGCAAACCUCAGCAGGGAUCAGAUGUACCACACCUGUGGUGGGUGUCCCCUUACUGCCAAUUUCACCCCCACCAUAUCACUUGAACCAAUACAGUGGAUGAGUUGCUGACUGUGGGAUUAGCUGUAUCAGCGCAGAUGGAAUGAAUCUUAAAUGUUUGAAAGAAGCCAAGAGAGAGAUUAGAGAGGAAUUGUUCGAAUCAUCAACACUCACCGAUGGGGCUCUUUCUGCUGCGCACGGCCUUCUGGAUUGGUGCGGCCAAUCCGGAAUCUGGCCCAGAGCUGCAGCAGUGGGUGCCGCGCGGACUUUCCAUCGCAGAGUCUGGGAUCCCUCGCUGGGGAUUGCCGGAGAAGAGCACCUACUGCUGGCCUGCGGCCUAUAACAUCGUGAAGCCGCGGUCUCCGAUAGAAAGUGGCCGAUUCGGGAUCUCCAAGCCGCGGAGUGUCUGUCCGUCCCGACGUUGGAGUUUCGAA